Non-coding RNA from Oncorhynchus mykiss (rainbow trout), 695 nucleotides. NCBI's taxonomy places the organism in Eukaryota, Metazoa, Chordata, Actinopteri, Salmoniformes, Salmonidae. The record is from RefSeq and is a predicted model, not a curated record.
AAAAGAAAGUCAUGACUGAUGUGUAAAGACGAAUGAAGAAGAAGUGUUAUUUAUAUACAACCAUUUGACUAUUAUAUUUAAAUAACUAGCCUUUCAACUUUCCUAGACAUGAUUUAAUAUCCAUUUCAUCUUUUGGGAGUUUUUUUUUUUGUACUAAAAGCAAGCAAAUCGGCUCGUCAUUGACUAGAUAAUUUUUCACUUUGUUAUAAUGAUUACGUUUAAUAUAUGUUAUUUACAGUGUCAUUACGCAGGUUUGGCAAUAGUUAUCUGGAAGAGGAGGAGGAGGAAGAGAACUAUGAGCAGAGCACAUCUAGUCAGUCUGCCUCAGCCAGGGGGAGCCACGUUGAGUGGCAGCUGUAUGAAGGAGAGAGAUGGCUUAGUAUUGGCAAUGACCAUGUGAUCGAGACCCACUACUGCCAGCCUGGGGCCAAAGGAAUGAACAUCUACCAUCACACAUGGGGCCAGUGUACAUAUGUUUAGUGCCAAUUUAUUUUAUACAGGCUGCAUCCCAAUAGUCUUGAAUAGUGUUCAUUCCUUGUCCCCUUUCCUUGAUAGAUAAUAUUGGUUCAAGGAGGUGAACAGGAGAGGAAGCAUUUUUAGAGAAUUAAGACUCAAACCUCGAAUCUGAUUAUGUAUUUGUUAUAUGUUAAACAAUAGUUCAGUAACCUAAGUUCUGACAUUUGUGUUUGAACAAA